Molecule: non-coding RNA, 2277 nt
Organism: Meleagris gallopavo (turkey)
Lineage: Eukaryota; Metazoa; Chordata; Aves; Galliformes; Phasianidae
Source: RefSeq, a predicted model, not a curated record
GUGCCUCUCUCACUUCGGCGACCGUUUGUCAAGAAGCUCCGACGGUGCCUGCCCGGCUGCUGUCGGUGUGCCUUUGGCCUCGUGUUGAGCGUGUGCUUAGGAACGGGGAAACCGCGCUCAGAUGCUCAAUGCCGUCUUUCCCCUUGUCCCUGAUCAGAACUCAGAACUAACAAAACUUUAUUACUGAAUAUAAAGGCAACAAACAUUGCUUCAGUUGCAAGAAAAAGGAGCAGAACAGAAUUGAACAUUUCUGUGCUUUCAGAAGGAAGAAAAAAAGUCAAGAAUUUAUCUUUCAAGGAUGACUGCUCUUCAAGUACACCAGGUAGGAUCCAAUCAGGUGCCACAUCUGAAGUAUACUUGAGAUAAAUUCAGGAUAGGUUCAUGCUUGGCCUCAACUCUUCCCAAAUCUGUAAGUAUUUAGCUAAAGUCAGAGUUUAGACACAUCUCUUAGCUACCUGAGCCAUACAUCAGCAGAUAGAAAUCUCAGAAACAAAGAUUUUGCAAAUUACUUACAAGAUACAUACAGUAUAUGUGUACAUAGCUUCUUUGUAAUCUGUUUGCUGGAAGGAGUGGAAAUAUAAAGAAAAGAGUAUUUUCUCCCACAGAGCAAGUAGGUAAGGGGGAAAUAUUCCUGUCAAUUUCAGUGAGACUAGUUAUAAGCAAAAGUAUUGAAGCAAUGCUUGCAGGGCACAUGUACUACAGCUUGUCAGGGGCUUAUUGCUGUGAAAUCCAUUGCAAAACAUCUGCUUUGCUUUACUGGAAAAACCUACUCACGUUUCAGGAAAAAAAUCCAUUGGCAGCUAAUGACUUCAGAAAGGAAAAAAAGAGGACAGUUAAAUCAAAAUGAAUUUCUUUCACCAGUUAUAUAAGGACAAGUAUGUAGGUUGCUCUGAAAGUAAUGCCUCCUCUUUAUUUCCAUGGAAACAAGAGCAGCUACAAGAAGCACAAUAACGCUAUUUGAUAGAGCAAAUUCUCAGCUACAAAACACAAUUUUUUUCAGCAUAGUCAUAACCAUUAGCUAUGCAUUUUCGCCAGCAAUGAGCAAGAUCCUGGAUGCCAUGCUUGUAAAAAUCUGCAUGCUGUCUGGAAUGUGUCUUGCCUUUCAAAUCAGUGUCUCUAGUGCUGAAAUGCACCGCCUACUGCUCACUGUGCUCACAUCCACUGUCUGGUUUCCAUAAACAUUCAGAAAACGUUGAUGAAUAUCAGUGAGUUCAGUAUUUUCCACAUGGAAGAAUUCAGUGACACACCUUUGCUUCCUAUGCGCUUCCAUGUCAGAUGCCACUGUGUCAGACUGCCCCUUUGCUGCCAUCUGUUGCGUGGCAAUAACAUUUAAGGGAAUAUUGGUGAGAAGGUUCAGCUUCUGUUGUCACACCAUCAACAUCCACUUCUGAUGUUGUAAGCCAACAUAAUAAAAUGGGAGGCCAUACUUUCGGAGUACCCCUUGUAGAUUGGUAGUUAUCAGUAUACUGAGGAAAUAAAUGUACUUCGUAGAAAAUCUGUCUGUUAAGAAAUAGGAAUGAAAAUUCAAGUAACUGAUGCUUAACAUGUUUGGAACAGUGAACUUGCUUUUGCAUUCAUCUUAAGAAAAAUCAUAGGCAAAGUUGAUUGAGAGAGCAGUAAAUGCAACACAGAACCCCACAGGGAGUGGGGAGGGGAAAAGGAGGGAAGAGGUAAAAUAAGAUCAGGGAAGUCUGGGCACAUGGUUCACCUGAAUGACACACAGCUUUAGGUGUUAAAGAUACAGUUUCCUGAAUAAAUUUUUCCCUCUGAUGACUGUUUGAAAAUCAACUGUGGGAAGCUGUGGAAGUACUGAAAUAUGGAAGGUAAGGAAAUAUAACACUGCCUUUCUAUAAGUGGAGAGCAGACCAAUUCUAGUAAGACACAAGCUAUAUAUCUGGGCGCCAUUGCUCUCCAAAUGGUGGAGCCCACAGGGAGAUUCCUCCUUUGCCCUCUGUUUUUCUCAACUGAAGAGUGCCUCUGCUUUUGAAGACAAGCUUCCAUUUAGUGAUUCAUAAGCUUAGGUGUAAGUGCUUACUUGGAUCUACCCCCUUGAGAAUAAUUUCUGAGUAUCUCAGCGCAGGCUCUUGGCAAUGGAAAAGAAACACUCAGAUACAGAGGAGAAAGAGAUGAAUGGGAUAUAAAUACUAUUUUGGUUGAUUUUGAACAUCCAAGAUUAGCACGGAAAAUGCAGAUGAUUUGAAAACUCAUGGAGUGAAAAUAUAGUGGUGCAGCACAUCACACUUUCAAGAGUAAAGCCAAAAAUCUGCAGCAAUAUUA